This 73-nucleotide transfer RNA is filed under the name Plutella xylostella (diamondback moth). Its description in RNAcentral is "tRNA-Ser". Lineage: Eukaryota; Metazoa; Arthropoda; Insecta; Lepidoptera; Plutellidae. The record is from RNAcentral.
GGUCGAAUGGCAUAGUGGUUAGUGGCACUGACUGCUAUGCCGAAGGUCCCGGGUUCGAUUCCCGGCUGGGGCA